CUCUUUGCUUCUCCGAACCCCCCACCCCCCCAAAAUUCCUUCAAAUACAGCCCUUUUUUCCUCUGGCUAUCGAAGAAUAUUUUUUCGGAUCCAGUUCUUUUGUUUGGACAGAGUAAUCACGGUCGAUUACAUUUUUCCUUUGUUUGGAUUGGGACAAUCCGUAUUUGUUUUGUUUCUUUUAACAGAUUUUGUUUAAUCCACUGUGUUACUCUGUCCAAACAGAUGUAUUGGUUCAUCAAAUUUUCCUCAACCUUCGAUCUCUUAUUUUUUUCUCUUUUGGAUCUCAAUUCUUGCAAGAGUGGUGAAACACGUGGUUUGGUCUGUUAUGUUCGUCUCACGUUCGAUUCUGGCAAGUAUUGUCUUUUUUUUUUUUCUAAAUUUUUGUCACUUAGAAUAUUAAUAUUUCGUUUCCUUUCCUCUCAUAAGCAUUGAUGGGUGAGGUAGCAAGAUAGAAGAACAAAGCCUUGGGCUCCAAAGGUAUGGAAGAAUUUGGGGUGCAGAAUUGACAAAGGGGAUAAGGUUCUUUGGACAACAUGGGCAAGUUGAGGUACAUGACAAUUGCUUGUAAGUAUCUUUUUCAUGAGCUUUUUCAUGAGUUUAUUAAAUGUGUAUUUGAUUAUUUCCAUCGGAGGCUGAGGGAUUUGGGAAGAAGGAAGCAGACAAAUGGCAUCCUUGUUAUUAACUUGCUAAAACUCAAACUACAACUUUGAUGCUGCUGCUUAAACCCAAGCCAUUGACUGUAACUGCCCAUGGGCUGCUGGAUAGAGCUAGAUUCUGAAUGGGAUUUUUUUUAUAGGAAUGGGCUUGACUCAUAUAAAGCCCGAUUUGGCCCAACAAAACAACCACAUCGGCAAAGUUCGAAACUUUAUUACUAUUACAUGGUUUAAACGUUCGAAAGUAAUAAUUUUAAUUCUAUAAAUAAAGUUAAGAAAUUGUUGUAUAUUUUAUGUUUUAAUAUUUUAAUAUUUGUAAUUAUACUUUAAAUAUAUGUGUUAUUUCAAUAAUUCUGUUUAUAGAAUUUAAAAUUUUCAUCUUUAUGAUAAUAAUGAAAAUGUGACACCUUUCUAGUUUCAUAGGUUAAGUUUUUAUAAUAAUCCUUAUAAUUCAAUUGUUAUGUAUGUUAGAGAAGGAGAUUUUAGUUCAACUAUUUUUAUACAUUUUGUAAUUAAAUUGUUAAUUAAUAAAAUUUCCUCUUCUAUGAAUAGAAAAAUUAAAAUACAGCCAUAGAACAAGUAAUACACAAAUAAUCAUUUAAUUUUGGAUGAUUUAUAUUAUGACAUAAUUAAUGUAACAAGUUCAUAAAAAAAGUCUUAUUGCAUUUUAAUUUGAAAGCAUAUUUGAAUUGGCUAAAUACUCAAAUUAAGACUAAAGGUUUUGGUAGUUAUUUAAUUCAAGACUAAACGUUUUAAUUUAUACAAAUAAAGGUAAAAUGUUAUUGAUUUGUAAUAAUGUAAAAUUUAUUUCAAUGAAAAAUGAGAUACUAAUGUUAUGCAUCGUUAAGUUGCUCACAUGUAAAAGCUAUAUUAAAAAAUAUAUAUAAUGUAGAAUAUAAUGCGAAAUUAACUUGAUCAUGUAUAAUGACAAGUGGAAAAAGUUGGUGUUUGUUUUUCUAAGCUUAUUUUCAUUUUUCUUUAUCAUUUUUGUUUGUAUCAUUAGAGAGCUUGAGCGUAAGGUUUACAAGCUGUAAGUCUUUUUCUCGUUUAUUCUCGUUUUUUAUCGUAAAUUGAAAAAAGUUUUUCGUUUUAAUAAUAUUUGAACAUAAUGUUUUUUUCAAAUAUCAGUUCAUCUAGUAACGUAAAUUCAAAGUUAGUAUAAAUUUGGGUUUUCUCAUACUUUGAUUUUUUUUAAUUUGUUAUUCAAAAUAUUAAAAUUGUAAGGUUUUUAAAGGAGGGUCUUAUGAUAUAAACUCGUAUAAGUUAAUAUUAGCUAGUUACCCUGUAGACUUCGAAGGAGAACCC
This 1958-nucleotide long non-coding RNA is filed under the name Durio zibethinus. RNAcentral describes it as "long non-coding RNA (DZIB_LNC000212)". Lineage: Eukaryota; Viridiplantae; Streptophyta; Magnoliopsida; Malvales; Malvaceae. The record is from RNAcentral.